GAUGAACGCUGGCGGCGUGCCUAAUGCAUGCAAGUCGAGCGAACAGACGAGGAGCUUGCUCCUCUGAUGUUAGCGGCGGACGGGUGAGUAACACGUGGAUAACCUACCUAUAAGACUGGGAUAACUUCGGGAAACCGGAGCUAAUACCGGAUAACAUGUUGAACCGCAUGGUUCAACAGUGAAAGACGGUCUUGCUGUCACUUAUAGAUGGAUCCGCGCCGCAUUAGCUAGUUGGUAAGGUAACGGCUUACCAAGGCAACGAUGCGUAGCCGACCUGAGAGGGUGAUCGGCCACACUGGAACUGAGACACGGUCCAGACUCCUACGGGAGGAAGCAGUAGGGAAUCUUCCGCAAUGGGCGAAAGCCUGACGGAGCAACGCCGCGUGAGUGAAGAAGGUCUUCGGAUCGUAAAACUCUGUUAUUAGGGAAGAACAAAUGUGUAAGUAACUAUGCACGUCUUGACGGUACCUAAUCAGAAAGCCACGGCUAACUACGUG
This 497-nucleotide ribosomal RNA is filed under the name uncultured bacterium. RNAcentral's name for it is "partial 16S ribosomal RNA". It matches the Rfam family "Bacterial small subunit ribosomal RNA", at positions 28 to 507 of the family's 1533-position model. The record is from RNAcentral.